RNAcentral lists this ribosomal RNA (200 nucleotides) under uncultured bacterium. RNAcentral's name for it is "partial 16S ribosomal RNA". It matches the Rfam family "Bacterial small subunit ribosomal RNA", at positions 28 to 229 of the family's 1533-position model. The record is from RNAcentral.
GACGAACGCUGGCGGCGUGCUUAACACAUGCAAGUCGAGCGGUAAGGCCCUUUCGGGGGUACACGAGCGGCGAACGGGUGAGUAACACGUGGGUGACCUGCCUUUAGCUCUGGGAUAAGCCUGGGAAACCGGGUCUAAUACCGGAUAUGACUCCGCGGCGCAUGUUGUGGGGUGGAAAGCCUUGUGCGGCUGGAGAUGGG